GUGCUCCCCCGCCAAUUCCUUUAAGUUUCAACCUUGCGGUCGUACUUCCCAAGUGGCCCGCUUCACGGCUUCCCUACGGCACCACGGCAGUUCACGACUGCCGUGACACCUAGCGGGCAUCGUUUACGGCUAGGACUACCCGGGUAUCUAAUCCGGUUCGUGCCCCUAGCUUUCGUCCCUCACCGUCGGACCUGUUCUGGUAGGACGCCUUCGCCACCGGUGGUCCCCAGAGGAUUACAGGAUUUCACUCCUACCCCCUGAGUACCUCCUACCUCUCCCAGUCCCAAGCAAUGUAGUAUCCCGCAGACGCCCAACGGUUAAGCCGCUGGAUUUCCCACAAGACUUGCAAAGCCGGCUACGGACCCUUUAGACUCAAUAAUAUCGGCCACCACUCGAGCCGCCGGUAUUACCGCGGCGGCUGGCACCGGUCUUGCCCGGCCCUUGCUAACAGCCGUUUUUUAGACAGCUGGACAGACACCUAAUGUAGAUGCCACUCGAUGUUCCCCUAUCGCAGUUGCCUGCAUUGUAGAGUUUUCGCGCUGCUGCGCCCCGUAGGGCCUGGAUUCGUGUCUCAGAAUCCAUCUCCGGGCUCUUGCUCCCACAACCCGUACUGAUAAUCGGCACGCCGGUACUUUACACCGGCGUCAACCUAAUCAGCCGCAGACCCAUCCAAAGGCGCCAGAGCUUUCAAUCAAAAAACCCUUCCAGUACUCUUGACCUAUCCGGUAUUAUCCCCAGUUUCCCGGAGUUAUCCCAGACCUUUGGGUAGGUUGUCCACGUGUUACUGAGCCGU
RNAcentral lists this ribosomal RNA (793 nucleotides) under uncultured Methanosarcinaceae archaeon. Its description in RNAcentral is "partial 16S ribosomal RNA". Lineage: Archaea; Methanobacteriati; Methanobacteriota; Methanomicrobia; Methanosarcinales; Methanosarcinaceae. The record is from RNAcentral.